Molecule: ribosomal RNA, 397 nt
Filed under: uncultured bacterium
Lineage: Bacteria
Description: partial 16S ribosomal RNA
Rfam family: Bacterial small subunit ribosomal RNA
Source: RNAcentral
AUACGUAGGGGGCGAGCGUUGUCCGGAAUGAUUGGGCGUAAAGGGCGCGUAGGCGGCGCGGUAAGUCUGGAGUGAAAGUCCUGCUUUCAAGGUGGGAAUUGCUUUGGAUACUGCCGCGCUUGAGUGCAGGAGAGGUUAUCGGAAUUCCCGGUGUAGCGGUGAAAUGCGUAGAGAUCGGGAGGAACACCAGUGGCGAAGGCGGGUAACUGGACUGCAACUGACGCUGAGGCGCGAAAGUGUGGGGAGCAAACAGGAUUAGAUACCCUGGUAGUCCACACUGUAAACGAUGAAUGCUAGGUGUAAGAGGUAUCGACCCCUUUUGUGCCGGAGUCAACACAAUAAGCGUUCCGCCUGGGGAGUACGGCCGCAAGGUUGAAACUCAAAUGAAUUGACGGGG